GACGAACGCUGGCGGCGUGCCUAAUACAUGCAAGUAGAACGCAGUUGCGAACGGGUGAGUAACGCGUCGGUAACUGCCUAUUAGAGGUGGAUAACUAUUGGAAACGAUAGCUAAUACCGCAUACUAGUAGAUGGACCUUCGUUGUAUUAGCUAGUAGGUAGGGUAAUGGCCUACCUAGGCAACGCUACAUAGCCGACCUGGGAGGGUGAUCGGCCACAAUGGGACUGAGACACGGCCCAGACUCCUACGGGAGGCAGCAGUAGGGAAUCUUCGGCAAUGGGGGGAAACCUGACCGAGCAACGCCGCGGGAGUGAAGAAGGUUUUCGGAUCGGAAAGCUCUGUUGUGAAGGAAGCGGUACUUAACCAGAAAGGGACGGCUAACUACGUGCCAGCAGCCGCGGUAAUAC
This 407-nucleotide ribosomal RNA is filed under the name uncultured bacterium. RNAcentral describes it as "partial 16S ribosomal RNA". It matches the Rfam family "Bacterial small subunit ribosomal RNA", at positions 28 to 526 of the family's 1533-position model. The record is from RNAcentral.